AGCAGCCGCGGUAAUUCCAGCUCCAAUAGCGUAUAUUAAAGUUGUUGCAGUUAAAAAGCUCGUAGUUGAAUUUCGGGAUUAGUACGCUGGUCAUGCCUUUGGUAUGUACUGGUGUUACUGGUUCCUACCUUCUGAAGAACCGUUAUGUCAUUAAUUUGGUGUGGCGGGGAAUCAGGACUGUUACUUUGAAAAAAUUAGAGUGUUUAAAGCAGGCUCGCGCUUGAAUACAUUAGCAUGGAAUAAUGAAAUAGGACGUUGAUCCUAUUUUGUUGGUUUCUAGGAUUGACGUAAUGAUUAAUAGGGAUAGUUGGGGGCAUUAGUAUUCAAUUGUCAGAGGUGAAAUUCUUGGAUUUAUUGAAGACUAACUACUGCGAAAGCAUUUGCCAAGGAUGUUUUCAUUAAUCAAGAACGAAAGUUAGGGAUCGAAGACGAUCAGAUACCGUCGUAGUCUUAACCAUAAACUAUGCCGACUAGGGAUCGGAUGAUGUUUAAUUUUUAUGACUUCAUUCGGCGCCUUACG
Molecule: ribosomal RNA, 520 nt
Filed under: uncultured Glomus
Lineage: Eukaryota; Fungi; Glomeromycota; Glomeromycetes; Glomerales; Glomeraceae
Description: SSU rRNA
Rfam family: Eukaryotic small subunit ribosomal RNA
Source: RNAcentral